CUAUAUGUGAUCAUUUAACACACUGGUGUUAAGUUCAUUCUUGCUGGAAAAGAAGGCCAUUGUACUUCCUGACCCCGAAAGCAAGAUGAGGUAACUGAGACACCAAAGGUUAAUUGCUUGCCUAAAGCCAUGUAGCAACUCUGUUGGAGCUACUUUAGUGUCAUAAAGCUCCACAUAUAUACUUUUAGCAAAAUCAGUAGUGACCCAUGCGAAUAAGGAGAUGGUAAUUAGAGACGGGACAGACCUCAAUGUGUCCUUCACUUGAAGACAGAGUAAAUUCAGUGAGGUACCUAAUUCUUUUCAUUUUCUUUCCCAGAAGAAUAUGUGUUUUUUCCCUACCCAAAUGUUUCAGUGAACAUUGCAGCUGUGCAUCAAGAGUCAGUUUUACAUGCAUAUAUUC
Rhinolophus ferrumequinum (greater horseshoe bat) is the source of this 400-nucleotide long non-coding RNA. RefSeq lists it as uncharacterized. The record is from RefSeq and is a predicted model, not a curated record. The transcript has 3 exons. NCBI's taxonomy places the organism in Eukaryota, Metazoa, Chordata, Mammalia, Chiroptera, Rhinolophidae.